RNAcentral lists this ribosomal RNA (429 nucleotides) under Chloroflexota bacterium. RNAcentral describes it as "Chloroflexi bacterium partial 16S ribosomal RNA". It matches the Rfam family "Bacterial small subunit ribosomal RNA", at positions 355 to 776 of the family's 1533-position model. The record is from RNAcentral. Lineage: Bacteria; Bacillati; Chloroflexota.
UGGGGAAUAUUGCACAAUGGGCGCAAGCCUGAUGCAGCCAUGCCGCGUGUAUGAAGAAGGCCUUCGGGUUGUAAAGUACUUUCAGUCGGGAGGAAGGUGGUAAGGUUAAUAACCUUAUCAAUUGACGUUACCGACAGAAGAAGCACCGGCUAACUCCGUGCCAGCAGCCGCGGUAAUACGGAGGGUGCAAGCGUUAAUCGGAAUUACUGGGCGUAAAGCGCACGCAGGCGGUUGAUUGAGUCAGAUGUGAAAUCCCCGGGCUUAACCCGGGAAUUGCAUCUGAUACUGGUCAGCUAGAGUCUUGUAGAGGGGGGUAGAAUUCCAUGUGUAGCGGUGAAAUGCGUAGAGAUGUGGAGGAAUACCGGUGGCGAAGGCGGCCCCCUGGACAAAGACUGACGCUCAGGAGCGAAAGCGUGGGGAGCAAACGGG